RNAcentral lists this ribosomal RNA (682 nucleotides) under Escherichia sp. RNAcentral's name for it is "bacterial SSU rRNA". It matches the Rfam family "Bacterial small subunit ribosomal RNA", at positions 765 to 1447 of the family's 1533-position model. The record is from RNAcentral. Lineage: Bacteria; Pseudomonadati; Pseudomonadota; Gammaproteobacteria; Enterobacterales; Enterobacteriaceae.
GGAGCAAACAGGAUUAGAUACCCUGGUAGUCCACGCCGUAAACGAUGUCGACUUGGAGGUUGUGCCCUUGAGGCGUGGCUUCCGGAGCUAACGCGUUAAGUCGACCGCCUGGGGAGUACGGCCGCAAGGUUAAAACUCAAAUGAAUUGACGGGGGCCCGCACAAGCGGUGGAGCAUGUGGUUUAAUUCGAUGCAACGCGAAGAACCUUACCUGGUCUUGACAUCCACGGAACUUUCCAGAGAUGAGAAGGUGCCUUCGGGAACCGUGAGACAGGUGCUGCAUGGCUGUCGUCAGCUCGUGUUGUGAAAUGUUGGGUUAAGUCCCGCAACGAGCGCAACCCUUAUCCUUUGUUGCCAGCGGUCCGGCCGGGAACUCAAAGGAGACUGCCAGUGAUAAACUGGAGGAAGGUGGGGAUGACGUCAAGUCAUCAUGGCCCUUACGACCAGGGCUACACACGUGCUACAAUGGCGCAUACAAAGAGAAGCGACCUCGCGAGAGCAAGCGGACCUCAUAAAGUGCGUCGUAGUCCGGAUUGGAGUCUGCAACUCGACUCCAUGAAGUCGGAAUCGCUAGUAAUCGUGGAUCAGAAUGCCACGGUGAAUACGUUCCCGGGCCUUGUACACACCGCCCGUCACACCAUGGGAGUGGGUUGCAAAAGAAGUAGGUAGCUUAACCUUCGGGA